UACGAAGAGGGCUAGCGUUGCUCGGAAUCACUGGGCGUAAAGCGCACGUAGGCGGCUUGUUAAGUCAGGGGUGAAAUCCUGGAGCUCAACUCCAGAACUGCCUUUGAUACUGGCGAGCUUGAGUCCGGGAGAGGUGAGUGGAACUGCGAGUGUAGAGGUGAAAUUCGUAGAUAUUCGCAAGAACACCAGUGGCGAAGGCGGCUCACUGGCCCGGUACUGACGCUGAGGUGCGAAAGCGUGGGGAGCAAACAGG
RNAcentral lists this ribosomal RNA (253 nucleotides) under uncultured bacterium. RNAcentral describes it as "partial 16S ribosomal RNA". It matches the Rfam family "Bacterial small subunit ribosomal RNA", at positions 524 to 776 of the family's 1533-position model. The record is from RNAcentral.